GCGAGGUUGGCCCAGCCUGGUUAAGGUAAACGAAGUGCGGGUUCAAAUCCCGCACUUCGCA
RNAcentral lists this transfer RNA (61 nucleotides) under Candidatus Nitrosocosmicus oleophilus. Its description in RNAcentral is "Candidatus Nitrocosmicus oleophilus tRNA". It matches the Rfam family "tRNA". Rfam says of the family: Transfer RNA (tRNA) molecules are approximately 80 nucleotides in length. Their secondary structure includes four short double-helical elements and three loops (D, anti-codon, and T loops). Further hydrogen bonds mediate the characteristic L-shaped molecular structure. tRNAs have two regions of fundamental functional importance: the anti-codon, which is responsible for specific mRNA codon recognition, and the 3' end, to which the tRNAs corresponding amino acid is attached (by aminoacyl-tRNA synthetases). tRNAs cope with the degeneracy of the genetic code in two manners: having more than one tRNA (with a specific anti-codon) for a particular amino acid; and 'wobble' base-pairing, i.e. permitting non-standard base-pairing at the 3rd anti-codon position. Lineage: Archaea; Thermoproteati; Nitrososphaerota; Nitrososphaeria; Nitrososphaerales; Nitrososphaeraceae. The record is from Rfam by way of RNAcentral.